This is a non-coding RNA of Xyrichtys novacula (pearly razorfish), 18537 nucleotides long. The record is from the annotation of a GenBank genome assembly. Lineage: Eukaryota; Metazoa; Chordata; Actinopteri; Labriformes; Labridae.
CUCGGCUCUCCAUGGCACAUGGUUCCCCACCCCUGACCGAAACGAAAGGAUUACUUAUCAUGAAACUGCAUCUGCCUGCAUAAAGUCCUGAGCUCAACUACCUUUGGGAUGAUCUGAAACACCGACUGAGAGCCAAGCCUCAUCGCCUAUUAUCGGUGUGUGACCUUACUAAUACUCUAAUAGGAGCAAAUCCGUAAAGCCAGGUUUAGAAAUUAUGCGGAGUCAUCCGGACAGUGGAGGAUGCACGCGGACAUCAGCAGAUUAUUGCACGUGCUUUUUUAAUGAGGCGUUUAACAACCACCCAACUAAACCUUCAAAGCCAGCUGACUUCGACAAACACUUUUUAUUUUGUGACUAAACACCAGGGGGCAGAAGAAGCCAUACAUGACUGUCUGCACGAGAAAAUCCAACUAAUGAACCUAAUGGAUGUUUUAAGUUCUUAGUUGAUGUACAACACAAACGAGGAACUAUUUUUCAUCUUUGAAGGAAAAGACAUAAGAAGCACAGCUGAAGACUUGCAUUAAUUAGCUGAUUUUCCAAGUCUCAUUCUCCUUUCAGGGCUUGUUUCUUCUUAUCUUCGUCUGUGGAGCUCUCCAAGUUUGUUUCUUUCCUCUACCACCUGACCACGUGCCUGUUUGAUUGACGGACUAUUAGAGGUGAGUGGACGUAUUAAUCCGCGGACAGUCAUGACUGGCGUAGGAAAUGCUACAACAGUUUUCACAGCGGUGCUGACAUUUGUCACAGCUCUUUCCAAAGCCUGCCGUACUUAACACUACACACACUGCACGCCUGAGCAGCACGUGACGGCAGACUCGUGCACGGUGGCAGUGUGAUUACAGGUGAGCUUCAGAGGGAGCCAUCACACGCUGCUCAGCAGGGUGUCUACAGUGAUGUGCCAACAGGUCCCUUUCCUUAAGAUAUUUCUUAUAUGCUACUGCAUUACUAAGUCUUAUUUUCCUGUUAUGAUAUGGACUGACUGAGUAAGUUAACGGUGUCUUAAAGGGAUAUUCCGGCAUAAAAUUAAUUUAGGGUCAAACACACCAUAACACCAGACACCACCUGGAGAAAUGAAUGUUGCCAACUUCUUGCUUCUCUAGUUAUACCAACUUUAGUAACAACCACACGAUAGCAAUACACAGCGGUCUGAGGAGCCAUAAACAAACCUCAACCAAAACGCCACUCUAUAGCCACAAAUAAUGCUCAGAACAGCACCUAACUUCAUCAACAGUACAUAUAGGGUCCUAGCCACAGCACCAGCCACCAAACAUCUUUUUAACUUUGCCAAAUGUCUUCAGCAAAGAGACUAAAUUCAUCACCUACUCUCUUCCAGCAGCUGCUUGUUUGUAGCGAGACCUCAGACCAGUUCAUUACAGACUGCUGCGGGGUGAUGCAUCUCAAGGAAGAACAUUUCUGAUCAAAAUAAAUUUCACUGUUGUUUACUCUGUAGACUCAGUGACUAUGGAAAAAUAUGUCAAAGGGCAAGCCAAAUUCAUCACAUAUGACUUGGAUCAAUGGAUGAAUGGAUCCAUUGAAUGGGUCCAUUGAUUUUGGAUCAAUUUCUGUAUACCCUAAUCAGAACAACAACAACAGAGAUGAUGUUAGCUUAUCCAUGGCCAAUGAGGACUCUGUUUCUGUCAGGUUGAAGAUGAGGGCUCCUCUUAGAAAAACUUUGAGCCACCAUCAAGCAGUUGUAUGACUGAAAUAACCGCAAGUUUGGAGUUGAAAACAAAGUGCUUGCUGCUCUCUUUUCCUUGUGGAAGAAUGGGCUAGUAGUAAAGUUUCUGGUCCUCAUGCAUGAAGCCUGUAGAAGAAAAAAAAAAAGAUCUACAGAGACAGGACAGCUAAGCUCAGCAGUAGGUUGCAGGAAGAGAGCCUGUCUUCACUUCUCUUUGUGGACAUAAAUGGACCCCCUGUGGACACUUCUUGGAAUCAGGAUGAAAAUUAAGAGAGGCUCAGUCCUCUGAAGUCGGAGAGAAAUGUUCAGAUUUGAAGUCCAUGAUCGCUCUAACUGAACUGUGAUACACCUGCUGUGAUUGUGCGGUUUGUGUGCCUGCCUGAAGCAUGAGUGUGAAGAAUGCAGUGUGUAUUAUUGCUUGGUUUAUAGCAUAAGUGUCGAUACUAGCCAUGGUGAGGUGUGUGUGGGUGUGUGUGUGUGUGUGCAUAGUGUGUAGUGUGUACAUGAAGCUGAAUUUGGAUACUGAAUCUGUGCAAUAAGAUGUCAGUAUUUCUCUGAAGCAUUACACUGCAUAAGAACUUAAUGUGCUUUUAGGACAUGCUUCCUAAAUAAAUUUAUGAGUUUGCUGCUUUUACUGAACAAAUAACCAGGAGAGGAUGACGUGUAGGCUACUGAAGUAAAAAGUAAGCCAUAAAUUACAGUUUAAAGUGACUGAAUUACUUUUAUGAUGCAGUUAAUCAGUAAUUCAGUAACUUUUGAAAGGAGUUGAAGUCAUAGAGAGUUAAGUCUCUAAAAAAAAUAAUGCUGUUUGAGAGAAGGUAUUUGCAGAUUGAGAGUUAAAGAGAUUGGACCUGAUCAGCUGUUCAUUAAAAUUAAACCAUGAAAAAUUAGACCUUUUUAAAAACUAAGAAAGCUUGAAAAACAGACAAUCAAAGGUCCGUGUGGAAAAUGUUAAUUCAAGUUAGCAAAUGUAUGUAAGUGCCCUUGGUUCACAUAAUUCAGUACAUUGCUGUAAUACCUGUUUUAAGAUUUAUGGCUCUCCCUGGAGAAAAAAACUCACCAGCCACUACUGAACUAUAUAUGAAUGAAAAUUAAUAUAGAAAAAUAAAUAAAUAAACAGUCUGGUUUUCACUCAGAUUUAUUUGUAGGUAAGUAACUGCUGACUCAUAGCUAAAAAUAACAGGUUAGAAAAUAAAAUACCCGGGUACCAAAAGCCAGUACCAGUCUGAGGAAUUCUAAAGUUUGUCCACAACUCCAUGAGGAUGGCUGGGUAGGUGGGAUUUAUGACCUAUACUGCAGCCUGUUACCAGAGUGUGCUGUUCACGGGGUUGCUUCACCCAGCGAGGAGGCAGACGCUGUCCAGUCUAUAUACAGUCUAUGGUUACAACCCCAGAGCCUCUUCGGUAUAGAAACUUGACUGUCAUCUAAAAUCAAUCAUGUGCAGGACGCCUCUGUAAAUGUAAGAUAACUUAAUGACUGCAGCCUCCGGCAGGUUCUUGGUAUCUUGUGCUCUGAAUCCUCAUUCAUGAGUAGCCUAUAGGUUUUGCAUUCAGUAAAUGUUGAUAUUGAAUAUUCUGAAUGUGAGAAAUGUCCCCCAUAAUGAAAUGGUUGUUGGAUUUUAAUUAAAACUAAACACGACUCACUUCCAGAAGAGCUACUUGUGAAUAAAAUCCAUAAUUCUGUACACCCACACAGGAUCACUUUGCAUUGAUCCCAUUACAGUUUAAGCUGUUUCCAAAGUGGGAUUUACAGCUUCAGCCAAAAGAUUUAGACUCUAAAUAUAAUCCAACAUUUCUAAAUCCACUGUGUAUAAUUAGAUUUGAGUGUUUCUCAGGUUUACAUUCUCUGUCUGACUGGAGGGAUACUGUGAGAAACUGCAUUGUAGAUUUCUGUGAUUUGGCUCCCAGAGUUGGCUCGAGGCUAAGAGCUGUGUCUCCCUCCUGAACGAACAGGGAAAAUAAGUUUUGGAGAAACUAAUUGUUGCCCAGGGGGGAAUUUUGAGAGAUCUUCAAACAGAAAAUCUCCAGCUGUCACUGAGAUUUUUGCCAACAAAUUGGGAUGAAAAUGUGUCUUGAAUUAGUCUCUUUCCAUGCAAGGUAUUCAAGCUGUCAUAGUUUAGGCGUUUUAGAUGCAGCUUGUGUGUAUCUCUCUGAACGUGAACCAUUGUGAACUUGUCACCGUGAGGGUCUGGAACAGGGGUCGGCAACCCGCGGCUCUGGAGCCGCAUGCGGCUCUUUCUUCCCUAAGCUGCGGCUCCCAAUGGAUUUGGAAAAUAAAUAAUAAAUACUUAAUUACAUUUUAUUUUAUUUUAUUAUUAUUAUUUUGUAAUUCUAAAUUCAAAGAUUAUAAUGCUCUUGUAACAUUAAAUAAACUAUUAAGGCUGCAACAACGUAUCGAUUAAGUCGAUUCGUCGUGACGAAAAAAUCCGUUGCCAACAAAUUCUGUAAUCGAUUCGUCGGGUCUUUAUAUAUGUCCAUGGACACCGGCGUGUAAACAUCAGCAGGACGCACAGAAAAGAAACAGCCAUGGCCGAGGCAGCGGCUGAGAAAAACAUGGACACAACCCAACCCAAAUCCCGACCUAAAACAUCAGUGGUGUGGGAAAACUUUACCAAGACUGAAAAGGAAGGCGUUCAGUGCAACAUUUGCGAAGACCGUUUUGCAUGGCUCGGGAGUACAUCGAUGAUGCGUGAGCACAGGGCUCUCAAGUCUCACGCAUUCAGUGUAUGACACACGCAAUCCCACUCGUUCACACGCUCACACACCACACAUUGUAUUUCUCACGCAUUUAAAUGAACACGGUGAUGUCCACCAAGUUGCACUUCUUCAACUACAGAACAGGGGGAAAUCAACUGAGUUUCUCAGAGAGUUCAGAAGCUGCGUGCCACGCACAAGCCAAUCAAAUAAAGUAUAUCUACUGAACAGCCAAUCAAAAAGCAGCAUUGCUGUAUCCGGGUAGAUUUUGAUAUCUUGCGGUUUAACUACAGAAGAAGACAGACACUCGCCGAAAUAGUUCAUUUAUUUCAUAAAUGCAACUCGCUACAGUUUUUUAUAUACUUUGUAUAAAGGUAAAAAAAAAAAAGAUAUAUGCAAUGUUAUCUUCAUUUUAGAUGUCAAAGAGGUUUUGUGGCUCCCUGUGUUUUCUUUUCUGUGGGAAACUGGUCCAAGUGGCUCUUUGAGUGUUUAAGGUUGCCGACCCCUGGUCUGGAAUAACUUGUUUGGUCUCACUGUAUGGUCCAGUUACAACAGGUUUGACUCAUGUAAUUAAAAACUGAAUAUCAAGGGUGCAUGUCAUUUUUUCAAGUUGUUUCAUCAGCAACAAUCUGAAUUCCUGCAUGGCAUCAUGUUAUGAGAAGGUUACCUGCUUUCUCAAAUUUAACACUAUGUUAACUCCUCAGGAGGUAGUUUACUUGACGUAUUAAAUGAGGUUUGUUAGCUUUCUUGUGCAACUCUCACCCUGUGUGAGGUGAAAACUGUGUUGUUACUCUCAUAUGUUCUGUUAAUUCACUUUUCUUCUGGUUUUAUUUGAGAGAAUCUUGUGUAUUUUUCUUGGUGUUACUGUUCCCUAUUGUUCCUGUUCCCCUGUAGUCCAGUCUUGUGAGUUUUUAGUUUGUGUUUGACCCUGUUUCCCUCCUGGGGCCUGUUCUACGAAGCAGGAUUACUGCUUAGCGAGGUAACUUCGAGGGUAAGUUCGGGGUUUCCUGUUCUAUGACCCGGGUUCACUUCUUAGCAAGGCGAGUCUCCUUGGCAACAUACGAUGAACAGCUAACCUGCUCUGGGGCAGGUUAAGUUCCAGAUUAAACUCACCGAGUAUAAAAACCCUGCCCACUGACCAAUGAGCUCUCUUGAAAAAUGGCUUGUCCGUUCUUGGAGGAUCCAGUAGACCUCGGUGCUUGCAUUGUACGAGGAGCACUCCGGCGCGCAAGAGUUUUUAGGGACCGCAAAUCCUGAUGUUUCUACCACAAGUUUUUUCUUUUCACCCAGCCUAAAAGUCCUGAUUAUCAGUUCUGGGUCCCUGACAAUGACUGUUGGGUACAAACUGCAAAGCUUUGUUCUGCAGGAAGGGCUGGGCUUUUCAUUAACCAUGUGGGUCGAAUAGUUCUGUGGGAUAAGUGUGUUGUGUCAGCCACUAUGUUUUCUGCACUUGUGACUAGAGAGCACCUUGAUAGCUCAGUUGGUAGAGCGGUGGACUGUAAGAUGCUCCUUGUGUGAAACGCUGUGAUCCUAAGGUCGCUGGUUCAACUCCAGCGCCAAGCACCUCCUUGUCAUUGGAAAUACCCCCAAGCCUUGUCUUUAUCUGUCAACUCCUCCAAAAUGUCAAAACACAAACAAGAUAACUCUUUCUUAAAUUUUCAACCAUCAAUUUUUUAUUCACCCAGCCUAAAAGUCCUGAUUAUCAGUUCUGGGUCCCUGGCAAUGACUGUUGGGUACAAACUGCAAAGCUUUGUUCUGCAGGUAGGGCUGGGCUUUUCAUUGACCAUGGGUUGGAAUAGUUCUGUGGGCAUAGUGUGUCUUCGAAGCCACUAUGUUUUCUGCACUUGUGACUAGAGAGCACCUUGAUAGCUCAGUUGGUAGAGCGGUGGACUGUAAGAUGCUCCUUGUGUGAAACGCUAUGAUCCUAAGGUCGCUGGUUCAACUCCAGCGCCAAGCACCUCCUUGUCAUUGGAAAUACCCCCAAGCCUUGUCUUUAUCUGUCAACUCCUCCAAAAUGUCAAAACACAAACAAGAUAACUCUUUCUUAAAUUUUCAACCAUCAAUUUUUUAUUCACCCAGCCUAAAAGUCCUGAUUAUCAGUUCUGGGUCCCUGGCAAUGACUGUUGGGUACAAACUGCAAAGCUUUGUUCUGCAGGUAGGGCUGGGCUUUUCAUUGACCAUGGGUUGGAAUAGUUCUGUGGGCAUAGUGUGUCUUCGAAGCCACUAUGUUUUCUGCACUUGUGACUAGAGAGCACCUUGAUAGCUCAGUUGGUAGAGCGGUGGACUGUAAGAUGCUCCUUGUGUGAAACGCUGUGAUGCUAAGGUCGCUGGUUCAACUCCAGCUCCAAGCACCUCCUUGUCAUUGGAAAUACCCCCAAGCCUUGUCUUUAUCUGUCAACUCCUCCAAAAUGUCGAAACACAAACAAGAUAACUCUUUCUUAAAUUUUCAACCAUCAAUUUUUUAUUCACCCAGCCUAAAAGUCCUGAUUAUCAGUUCUGGGUCCCUGGCAAUGACUGUUGGGUACAAACUGCAAAGCUUUGUUCAGCAGGUAGGGCUAGGCUUUUCAUUGACCAUGGGUUGGAAUAGUUCUGUGGGCAUAGUGUGUCUUCGAAGCCACCAUGUUUUCUGCACUUGUGACUAGAGAGCACCUUCAUAGCUCAGUUGGUAGAGCUGUGGACUGUAAGAUGCUCCUUGUGUGAAACGCUGUGAUGCUAAAUUCGCUGGUUCAACUCCAGCUCCAAGCACCUCCUUGUCAUUGGAAAUACCCCCAAGCCUUGUCUUUAUCUGUCAACUCCUCCAAAAUGUCGAAACACAAAGAAGAUAACUCUUUCUUGAAUUUUCAACCAUCAAUUUUUUAUUCACCCAGCCUAAAAGUCCUGAUUAUCAGUUCUGGGUCCCUGGUAAUGACUGUUGGGUACAAACUGCAAAGCUUUGUUCUGCAGGUAGGGCUGGGCUUUUCAUUGACCAUGGUUUGGAAUAGUUCUGUGGGCAUAGUGUGUCUUCGAAGCCACUAUGUUUUCUGCACUUGUGACUAGAGAGCACCUUGAUAGCUCAGUUGGUAGAGCGGUGGACUGUAAGAUGCUCCUUGUGUGAAACGCUGUGAUGCUAAGGUCGCUGGUUCAACUCCACCUCCAAGCACCUCCUUGUCAUUCGAAAUACCCCCAAGCCUUGUUUUUAUCUGUCAACUCCUCCAAAAUGUCGAAACACAAAAAAGAUAACUCUUUCUUGAAUUUUCAACCAUCAAUUUUUUAUUCACCCAGCCUAAAAGUCCUGAUUAUCAGUUCUGGGUCCCUGGCAAUGACUGUUGGGUACAAACUGCAAAGCUUUGUUCUGCAGGUAGGGCUGGGCUUUUCAUUGACCAUGGGUUGGAAUAGUUCUGUGGGCAUAGUGUGUCGUCGAAGCCACCAUGUUUUCUGCACUUGCGACUAGAGAGCACCUUGAUAGCUCAGUUGGUAGAGCGGUGGACUGUAAGAUGCUCCUUGUGUGAAACGCUGUGAUCCUAAGGUCGCUGGUUCAACUCCAGCUCCAAGCACCUCCUUGUCAUUGGAAAUACCCCCAAGCCUUGUCUUUAUCUGUCAACUCCUCCAAAAUGUCAAAACACAAAGAAGAUAACUCUUUCUUAAAUUUUCAACCAUCAAUGUUUUAUUCACCCAGCCUAAAAGUCCUGAUUAUCAGUUCUGGGUCCCUGGCAAUGACUGUUGGGUACAAACUGCAAAGCUUUGUUCUGCAGGUAGGGCUGGGCUUUUCAUUGACCAUGGGUUGGAAUAGUUCUGUGGGCAUAGUGUGUCUUCGAAGCCACUAUGUUUUCUGCACUUGUGACUAGAGAGCACCUUGAUAGCUCAGUUGGUAGAGCGGUGGACUGUAAGAUGCUCCUUGUGUGAAACGCUGUGAUGCUCAGGUCGCUGGUUCAACUCCAGCUCCAAGCACCUCCUUGUCAUUGGAAAUACCCCCAAGCCUUGUCUUUAUCUGUCAACUCCUCCAAAAUGUCGAAACACAAACAAGAUAACUCUUUCUUAAAUUUUCAACCAUCAAUUUUUUAUUCACCCAGCCUAAAAGUCCUGAUUAUCAGUUCUGGGUCCCUGGCAAUGACUGUUGGGUACAAACUGCAAAGCUUUGUUCUGCAGGUAGGGCUGGGCUUUUCAUUGACCAUGGGUUGGAAUAGUUCUGUGGGCAUAGUGUGUCUUCGAAGCCACCAUGUUUUCUGCACUUGUGACUAGAGAGCACCUUCAUAGCUCAGUUGGUAGAGCUGUGGACUGUAAGAUGCUCCUUGUGUGAAACGCUGUGAUGCUAAGGUCGCUGGUUCAACUCCAGCUCCAAGCACCUCCUUGUCAUUGGAAAUACCCCCAAGCACUUGUCUUUAUCUGUCAACUCCUCCAAAAUGUCAAAACACAAAGAAGAUAACUCUUUCUUAAAUUUUCAACCAUCAAUUUUUUAUUCACCCAGACUAAAAGUCCUGAUUAUCAGUUCUGGGUCCCUGGCAAUGACUGUUGGGUACAAACUGCAAAGCUUUGUUCUGCAGGUAGGGCUGGGCUUUUCAUUGACCAUGGGUUGGAAUAGUUCUGUGGGCAUAGUGUGUCUUCGAAGCCACUAUGUUUUCUGCACUUGUGACUAGAGAGCACCUUGAUAGCUCAGUUGGUAGAGCGGUGGACUGUAAGAUGCUCCUUGUGUGAAACGCUGUGAUGCUAAGGUCGCUGGUUCAACUCCAGCUCCAAGCACCUCCUUGUCAUUGGAAAUACCCCCAAGCCUUGUCUUUAUCUGUCAACUCCUCCAAAAUGUCGAAACACAAAGAAGAUAACUCUUUCUUAAAUUUUCAACCAUCAAUUUUUUAUUCACCCAGCCUAAAAGUCCUGAUUAUCAGUUCUGGGUCCCUGGCAAUGACUGUUGGGUACAAACUGCAAAGCUUUGUUCUGCAGGUAGGGCUGGGCUUUUCAUUGACCAUGGGUUGGAAUAGUUCUGUGGGCAUAGUGUGUCGUCGAAGCCACCAUGUUUUCUGCACUUGCGACUAGAGAGCACCUUGAUAGCUCAGUUGGUAGAGCGGUGGACUGUAAGAUGCUCCUUGUGUGAAACGCUGUGAUCCUAAGGUCGCUGGUUCAACUCCAGCUCCAAGCACCUCCUUGUCAUUGGAAAUACCCCCAAGCCUUGUCUUUAUCUGUCAACUCCUCCAAAAUGUCAAAACACAAAGAAGAUAACUCUUUCUUAAAUUUUCAACCAUCAAUGUUUUAUUCACCCAGCCUAAAAGUCCUGAUUAUCAGUUCUGGGUCCCUGGCAAUGACUGUUGGGUACAAACUGCAAAGCUUUGUUCUGCAGGUAGGGCUGGGCUUUUCAUUGACCAUGGGUUGGAAUAGUUCUGUGGGCAUAGUGUGUCUUCGAAGCCACUAUGUUUUCUGCACUUGUGACUAGAGAGCACCUUAAUAGCUCAGUUGGUAGAGCGGUGGACUGUAAGAUGCUCCUUGUGUGAAACGCUGUGAUGCUAAGGUCGCUGGUUCAACUCCAGCUCCAAGCACCUCCUUGUCAUUGGAAAUACCCCCAAGCCUUGUCUUUAUCUGUCAACUCCUCCAAAAUGUCGAAACACAAACAAGAUAACUCUUUCUUAAAUUUUCAACCAUCAAUUUUUUAUUCACCCAGCCUAAAAGUCCUGAUUAUCAGUUCUGGGUCCCUGGCAAUGACUGUUGGGUACAAACUGCAAAGCUUUGUUCUGCAGGUAGGGCUGGGCUUUUCAUUGACCAUGGGUUGGAAUAGUUCUGUGGGCAUAGUGUGUCUUCGAAGCCACCAUGUUUUCUGCACUUGUGACUAGAGAGCACCUUCAUAGCUCAGUUGGUAGAGCUGUGGACUGUAAGAUGCUCCUUGUGUGAAACGCUGUGAUGCUAAGGUCGCUGGUUCAACUCCAGCUCCAAGCACCUCCUUGUCAUUGGAAAUACCCCCAAGCCUUGUCUUUAUCUGUCAACUCCUCCAAAAUGUCAAAACACAAAGAAGAUAACUCUUUCUUAAAUUUUCAACCAUCAAUUUUUUAUUCACCCAGACUAAAAGUCCUGAUUAUCAGUUCUGGGUCCCUGGCAAUGACUGUUGGGUACAAACUGCAAAGCUUUGUUCUGCAGGUAGGGCUGGGCUUUUCAUUGACCAUGGGUUGGAAUAGUUCUGUGGGCAUAGUGUGUCUUCGAAGCCACUAUGUUUUCUGCACUUGUGACUAGAGAGCACCUUGAUAGCUCAGUUGGUAGAGCGGUGGACUGUAAGAUGCUCCUUGUGUGAAACGCUGUGAUGCUAAGGUCGCUGGUUCAACUCCAGCUCCAAGCACCUCCUUGUCAUUGGAAAUACCCCCAAGCCUUGUCUUUAUCUGUCAACUCCUCCAAAAUGUCGAAACACAAAGAAGAUAACUCUUUCUUAAAUUUUCAACCAUCAAUUUUUUAUUCACCCAGCCUAAAAGUCCUGAUUAUCAGUUCUGGGUCCCUGGCAAUGACUGUUGGGUACAAACUGCAAAGCUUUGUUCUGCAGGUAGGGCUGGGCUUUUCAUUGACCAUGGGUUGGAAUAGUUCUGUGGGCAUAGUGUGUCGUCGAAGCCACCAUGUUUUCUGCACUUGCGACUAGAGAGCACCUUGAUAGCUCAGUUGGUAGAGCGGUGGACUGUAAGAUGCUCCUUGUGUGAAACGCUGUGAUCCUAAGGUCGCUUGUUCAACUCCAGCUCCAAGCACCUCCUUGUCAUUGGAAAUACCCCCAAGCCUUGUCUUUAUCUGUCAACUCCUCCAAAAUGUCAAAACACAAAGAAGAUAACUCUUUCUUAAAUUUUCAACCAUCAAUGUUUUAUUCACCCAGCCUAAAAGUCCUGAUUAUCAGUUCUGGGUCCCUGGCAAUGACUGUUGGGUACAAACUGCAAAGCUUUGUUCUGCAGGUAGGGCUGGGCUUUUCAUUGACCAUGGGUUGGAAUAGUUCUGUGGGCAUAGUGUGUCUUCGAAGCCACUAUGUUUUCUGCACUUGUGACUAGAGAGCACCUUGAUAGCUCAGUUGGUAGAGCGGUGGACUGUAAGAUGCUCCUUGUGUGAAACGCUGUGAUGCUAAGGUGGCUGGUUCAACUCCAGCUCCAAGCACCUCCUUGUCAUUGGAAAUACCCCCAAGCCUUGUCUUUAUCUGUCAACUCCUCCAAAAUGUCGAAACACAAACAAGAUAACUCUUUCUUAAAUUUUCAACCAUCAAUUUUUUAUUCACCCAGCCUAAAAGUCCUGAUUAUCAGUUCUGGGUCCCUGGCAAUGACUGUUGGGUACAAACUGCAAAGCUUUGUUCUGCAGGUAGGGCUGGGCUUUUCAUUGACCAUGGGUUGGAAUAGUUCUGUGGGCAUAGUGUGUCUUCGAAGCCACCAUGUUUUCUGCACUUGUGACUAGAGAGCACCUUCAUAGCUCAGUUGGUAGAGCUGUGGACUGUAAGAUGCUCCUUGUGUGAAACGCUGUGAUGCUAAGGUCGCUGGUUCAACUCCAGCUCCAAGCACCUCCUUGUCAUUGGAAAUACCCCCAAGCCUUGUCUUUAUCUGUCAACUCCUCCAAAAUGUCGAAACACAAAGAAGAUAACUCUUUCUUGAAUUUUCAACCAUCAAUUUUUUAUUCACCCAGCCUAAAAGUCCUGAUUAUCAGUUCUGGGUCCCUGGUAAUGACUGUUGGGUACAAACUGCAAAGCUUUGUUCUGCAGGUAGGGCUGGGCUUUUCAUUGACCAUGGUUUGGAAUAGUUCUGUGGGCAUAGUGUGUCUUCGAAGCCACUAUGUUUUCUGCACUUGUGACUAGAGAGCACCUUGAUAGCUCAGUUGGUAGAGCGGUGGACUGUAAGAUGCUCCUUGUGUGAAACGCUGUGAUGCUAAGGUCGCUGGUUCAACUCCACCUCCAAGCACCUCCUUGUCAUUGGAAAUACCCCCAAGCCUUGUCUUUAUCUGUCAACUCCUCCAAAAUGUCGAAACACAAAAAAGAUAACUCUUUCUUGAAUUUUCAACCAUCAAUUUUUUAUUCACCCAGCCUAAAAGUCCUGAUUAUCAGUUCUGGGUCCCUGGCAAUGACUGUUGGGUACAAACUGCAAAGCUUUGUUCUGCAGGUAGGGCUGGGCUUUUCAUUGACCAUGGGUUGGAAUAGUUCUGUGGGCAUAGUGUGUCGUCGAAGCCACCAUGUUUUCUGCACUUGCGACUAGAGAGCACCUUGAUAGCUCAGUUGGUAGAGCGGUGGACUGUAAGAUGCUCCUUGUGUGAAACGCUGUGAUCCUAAGGUCGCUGGUUCAACUCCAGCUCCAAGCACCUCCUUGUCAUUGGAAAUACCCCCAAGCCUUGUCUUUAUCUGUCAACUCCUCCAAAAUGUCAAAACACAAAGAAGAUAACUCUUUCUUAAAUUUUCAACCAUCAAUUUUUUAUUCACUCAGCCUAAAAGUCCUGAUUAUCAGUUCUGGGUCCCUGGCAAUGACUGUUGGGUACAAACUGCAAAGCUUUGUUCUGCAGGUAGGGCUGGGCUUUUCAUUGACCAUGGGUUGGAAUAGUUCUGUGGGCAUAGUGUGUCUUCGAAGCCACUAUGUUUUCUGCACUUGUGACUAGAGAGCACCUUGAUAGCUCAGUUGGUAGAGCGGUGGACUGUAAGAUGCUCCUUGUGUGAAACGCUGUGAUGCUAAGGUCGCUGGUUCAACUCCAGCUCCAAGCACCUCCUUGUCAUUGGAAAUACCCCCAAGCCUUGUCUUUAUCUGUCAACUCCUCCAAAAUGUCGAAACACAAAGAAGAUAACUCUUUCUUAAAUUUUCAACCAUCAAUUUUUUAUUCACCCAGCCUAAAAGUCCUGAUUAUCAGUUCUGGGUCCCUGGCAAUGACUGUUGGGUACAAACUGCAAAGCUUUGUUCUGCAGGUAGGGCUGGGCUUUUCAUUGACCAUGGGUUGGAAUAGUUCUGUGGGCAUAGUGUGUCUUCGAAGCCACUAUGUUUUCUGCACUUGUGACUAGAGAGCACCUUGAUAGCUCAGUUGGUAGAGCGGUGGACUGUUAGAUGCUCCUUGUGUGAAAUGCUGUGAUCCUAAGGUCGCUGGUUCAACUCCAGCUCCAAGCACCUCCUUAUCAUUGGAAAUACCCCCAAGCCUUGUCUUUAUCUGUCAACUCCUCCAAAAUGUCAAAACACAAAGAAGAUAACUCUUUCUUAAAUUUUCAACCAUCAAUUUUUUAUUCACCCAGCCUAAAAGUCCUGAUUAUCAGUUCUGGGUCCCUGGCAAUGACUGUUGGGUACAAACUGCAAAGCUUUGUUCUGCAGGUAGGGCUGGGCUUUUCAUUGACCAUGGGUUGGAAUAGUUCUGUGGGCAUAGUGUGUCUUCGAAGCCACUCUGUUUUCUGCACUUGUGACUAGAGAGCACCUUGAUAGCUCAGUUGGUAGAGCGGUGGACUGUAAGAUGCUCCUUGUGUGAAACGCUGUGAUCCUAAGGUCGCUGGUUCAACUCCAGCUCCAAGCACCUCCUUGUCAUUGGAAAUACCCCCAAGCCUUGUCUUUAUCUGUCAACUCCUCCAAAAUGUCAAAACACAAACAAGAUAACUCUUUCUUAAAUUUUCAACCAUCAAUUUUUUAUUCACUCAGCCUAAAAGUCCUGAUUAUCAGUUCUGGGUCCCUGGCAAUGACUGUUGGGUACAAACUGCAAAGCUUUGUUCUGCAGGUAGGGCUGGGCUUUUCAUUGACCAUGGGUUGGAAUAGUUCUGUGGGCAUAGUGUGUCUUCGAAGCCACUAUGUUUUCUGCACUUGAGACUAGAGAGCACCUUGAUAGCUCAGUUCGUAGAGCGGUGGACUUUAAGAUCCUCCUUGUGUGAAACGCUGUGAUCCUAAGGUCGCUGGUUCAACUCCAGCUCCAAGCACCUCCUUGUCAUUGGAAAUACCCCCAAGCCUUGUCUUUAUCUGUCAACUCCUCCAAAAUGUCAAAACACAAAGAAGAUAACUCUUUCUUAAAUUUUCAACCAUCAAUUUUUUAUUCACCCAGACUAAAAGUCCUGAUUAUCAGUUCUGGGUCCCUGGCAAUGACUGUUGGGUACAAACUGCAAAGCUUUGUUCUGCAGGUAGGGCUGGGCUUUUCAUUGACCAUGGGUUGGAAUAGUUCUGUGGGCAUAGUGUGUCUUCGAAGCCACUAUGUUUUCUGCACUUGUGACUAGAGAGCACCUUGAUAGCUCAGUUGGUAGAGCGGUGGACUGUAAGAUGCUCCUUGUGUGAAACGCUGUGAUGCUAGGGUCGCUGGUUCAACUCCAGCUCCAAGCACCUCCUUGUCAUUGUAAAUACCCCCAAGCCUUGUCUUUAUCUGUCAACUCCUCCAAAAUGUCGAAACACAAAGAAGAUAACUCUUUCUUAAAUUUUCAACCAUCAAUUUUUUAUUCACCCAGCCUAAAAGUCCUGAUUAUCAGUUCUGGGUCCCUGGCAAUGACUGUUGGGUACAAACUGCAAAGCUUUGUUCUGCAGGUAGGGCUGGGCUUUUCAUUGACCAUGGGUUGGAAUAGUUCUGUGGGCAUAGUGUGUCUUCGAAGCCACUAUGUUUUCUGCACUUGUGACUAGAGAGCACCUUGAUAGCUCAGUUGGUAGAGCGGUGGACUGUAAGAUGCUCCUUGUGUGAAACGCUGUGAUGCUAAGGUCGCUGGUUCAACUCCAGCUCCAAGCACCUCCUUGUCAUUGGAAAUACCCCCAAGCCUUGUCUUUAUCUGUCAACUCAUCCAAAAUGUCGAAACACAAACAAGAUAACUCUUUCUUAAAUUUUCAACCAUCAAUUUUUUAUUCACCCAGCCUAAAAGUCCUGAUUAUCAGUUCUGGGUCCCUGGCAAUGACUGUUGGGUACAAACUGCAAAGCUUUGUUCUGCAGGUAGGGCUGGGCUUUUCAUUGACCAUGGGUUGGAAUAGUUCUGUGGGCAUAGUGUGUCUUCGAAGCCACCAUGUUUUCUGCACUUGUGACUAGAGAGCACCUUGAUAGCUCAGUUGGUAGAGCUGUGGACUGUAAGAUGCUCCUUGUGUGAAACGCUGUGAUGCUAAGGUCGCUGGUUCAACUCCACCUCCAAGCACCUCCUUGUCAUUGGAAAUACCCCCAAGCCUUGUCUUUAUCUGUCAACUCCUCCAAAAUGUCGAAACACAAAGAAGAUAACUCUUUCUUGAAUUUUCAACCAUCAAUUUUUUAUUCACCCAGCCUAAAAGUCCUGAUUAUCAGUUCUGGGUCCCUGGUAAUGACUGUUGGGUACAAACUGCAAAGCUUUGUUUUGCAGGUAGGGCUGGGCUUUUCAUUGACCAUGGUUUGGAAUAGUUCUGUGGGCAUAGUGUGUCUUCGAAGCCACUAUGUUUUCUGCACUUGUGACUAGAGAGCACCUUGAUAGCUCAGUUGUUAGAGCGGUGGACUGUAAGAUGCUCCUUGUGUGAAACGCUGUGAUGCUAAGGUAGCUGGUUCAACUCCACCUCCAAGCACCUCCUUGUCAUUGGAAAUACCCCCAAGCCUUGUCUUUAUCUGUCAACUCCUCCAAAAUGUCGAAACACAAAAAAGAUAACUCUUUCUUGAAUUUUCAACCAUCAAUUUUUUAUUCACCCAGCCUAAAAGUCCUGAUUAUCAGUUCUGGGUCCCUGGCAAUGACUGUUGGGUACAAACUGCAAAGCUUUGUUCUGCAGGUAGGGCUGGGCUUUUCAUUGACCAUGGGUUGGAAUAGUUCUGUGGGCAUAGUGUGUCGUCGAAGCCACCAUGUUUUCUGCACUUGCGACUAGAGAGCACCUUGAUAGCUCAGUUGGUAGAGCGUUGGACUGUAAGAUGCUCCUUGUGUGAAACGCUGUGAUCCUAAGGUCGCUGGUUCAACUCCAGCUCCAAGCACCUCCUUGUCAUUGGAAAUACCCCCAAGCCUUGUCUUUAUCUGUCAACUCCUCCAAAAUCUCAAAACACAAAGAAGAUAACUCUUUCUUAAAUUUUCAACCAUCAAUGUUUUAUUCACCCAGCCUAAAAGUCCUGAUUAUCAGUUCUGGGUCCCUGGCAAUGACUGUUGGGUACAAACUGCAAAGCUUUGUUCUGCAGGUAGGGCUGGGCUUUUCAUUGACCAUGGGUUGGAAUAGUUCUGUGGGCAUAGUGUGUCUUCGAAGCCACUAUGUUUUCUGCACUUGUGACUAGAGAGCACCUUGAUAGCUCAGUUGGUAGAGCGGUGGACUGUAAGAUGCUCCUUGUGUGAAACGCCAUGAUCCUAAGGUCGCUGGUUCAACUCCAGCUCCAAGCACCUCCUUGUCAUUGGAAAUACCCCCAAGCCUUGUCUUUAUCUGUCAACUCCUCCAAAAUGUCAAAACACAAACAAGAUAACUCUUUCUUAAAUUUUCAACCAUCAAUUUUUUAUUCACCCAGCCUAAAAGUCCUGAUUAUCAGUUCUGGGUCCCUGGCAAUGACUGUUGGGUACAAACUGCAAAGCUUUGUUCUGCAGGUAGGGCUGGGCUUUUCAUUGACCAUGGGUUGGAAUAGUUCUGUGGGCAUAGUGUGUCUUCGAAGCCACUAUGUUUUCUGCACUUGUGACUAGAGAGCACCUUGAUAGCUCAGUUGGUAGCGCGGUGGACUGUUAGAUGCUCCUUGUGUGAAAUGCUGUCAUCCUAAGGUCCCUGGUUCAACUCCAGCUCCAAGCACCUCCUUGUCAUUGGAAAUACCCCCAAGCCUUGUCUUUAUCUGUCAACUCCUCCAAAAUGUCAAAACACAAAGAAGAUAACUCUUUCUUAAAUUUUCAACCAUCAAUUUUUUAUUCACCCAGCCUAAAAGUCCUGAUUAUCAGUUCUGGGUCCCUGGCAAUGACUGUUGGGUACAAACUGCAAAGCUUUGUUCUGCAGGUAGGGCUGGGCUUUUCAUUGACCAUGGGUUGGAAUAGUUCUGUGGGCAUAGUGUGUCUUCGAAGCCACUAUGUUUUCUGCACUUGUGACUAGAGAGCACCUUGAUAGCUCAGUUGGUAGCGCGGUGGACUGUUAGAUGCUCCUUGUGUGAAAUGCUGUCAUCCUAAGGUCCCUGGUUCAACUCCAGCUCCAAGCACCUCCUUGUCAUUGGAAAUACCCCCAAGCCUUGUCUUUAUCUGUCAACUCCUCCAAAAUGUCAAAACACAAAGAAGAUAACUCUUUCUUAAAUUUUCAACCAUCAAUUUUUUAUUCACCCAGCCUAAAAGUCCUGAUUAUCAGUUCUGGGUCCCUGGCAAUGACUGUUGGGUACAAACUGCAAAGCUUUGUUCUGCAGGUAGGGCUGGGCUUUUCAUUGACCAUGGGUUGGAAUAGUUCUGUGGGCAUAGUGUGUCUUUGAAGCCACUAUGUUUUCUGCACUUGUGACUAGAGAGCACCUUGAUAGCUCAGUUGGUAGACCGGUGGACUGUAAGAUGCUCCUUGUGUGAAACGCUGUGAUCCUAAGGUCGCUGGUUCAACUCCAGCUCCAAGCACCUCCAUGUCAUUGGAAAUACCCCCAAGCCUUGUCUUUAUCUGUCAACUCCUCCAAAAUGUCAAAACACAAAGAAGAUAACUCUUUCUUAAAUUUUCAACCAUCAAUUUUUUAUUCACUCAGCCUAAAAGUCCUGAUUAUCAGUUCUGGGUCCCUGGCAAUGACUGUUGGGUACAAACUGCAAAGCUGUGUUCUGCAGGUAGGGCUGGGCUUUUCAUUGACCAUGGGUUGGAAUAGUUCUGUGGGCAUAGUGUGUCUUCGAAGCCACUAUGUUUUCUGCACUUGUGACUAGAGAGCACCUUGAUAGCUCAGUUGGUAGAGCGGUGGACUCUAAGAUGCUCCUUGUGUGAAAAGCUGUGAUCCUAAGGUCACUGGUUCAACUCCAGCUCCAAGCACCUCCUUGUCAUUGGAAAUACCCCCAAGCCUUGUCUUUAUCUGUCAACUCCUCCAAAAUGUCAAAACACAAAGAAUAUAACUCUUUCUUAAAUUUUCAACCAUCAAUUUUUUAUUCACCCAGCCUAAAAGUCCUGAUUAUCAGUUCUGGGUCCCUGGCAAUGACUGUUGGGUACAAACUGCAAAGCUUUGUUCUGCAGGUAGGGCUGGGCUUUUCAUUGACCAUGGGUUGGAAUAGUUCUGUGGGCAUAGUGUGUCUUCGAAGCCACUAUGUUUUCUGCACUUGUGACUAGAGAGCACCUUGAUAGCUCAGUUGGUAGAGCGGUGGACUGUAAGAUGCUCCUUGUGUGAAACGCCGUGAUCCUAAGCUCGCUGGUUCAACUCCAGCUCCAA